GGAUAUAUAUAUAUAUAUAUAUAAGCGUUGGAUGGGCUGACUAUUUUGCCCCCACAAGGCCAGCAUCGAUUUCCUUAGUAAGACCAGUCAUGAAAUCCAUGUAGAUGUGUGGAGUGGGGACGUUCUCAUUCAAUUUCUCAUACUCAAUAACACAGGUCGCCAAACAACCCUGGCCCUUUGGUGUAAGAGAAAAAAUGGGCUUAAACACCUUGUAAGACUUCAUCACAUCUCCUUCCAGGCCAACAAGAACUAUUUUCUUGUUCACUUCAUCCAACUCCACCUGCUCUUUGAAGAUCUCAGCUUUCCCAUCUGGAGUAGUGUAAUUCCAGAUCUUGACAGAGCCUCCAGUUUCCCAGUCACCUUCAUGCACUUGAACUGCUUGUAUAUUGGAAGGAGUAUGAUUAGGAAUUUGGUGGGCUUGUUUCGCCAACACAUUGAAGAAUUGCUCAGGAGUUGCCUUCAGUAUUAAGACGGUCUCCAGCUUCCCCUUCAGAGACAUGGUUGUUUUUCUAGUAUCUGUAAAGAGUAUGACUUUAAUUUGAUGUAGAGGCAAUGCAAGUGAGCCGCUAUAUAUCACA
This 578-nucleotide unclassified non-coding RNA is filed under the name Hevea brasiliensis (rubber tree). The record is from RNAcentral. Lineage: Eukaryota; Viridiplantae; Streptophyta; Magnoliopsida; Malpighiales; Euphorbiaceae.